This 497-nucleotide ribosomal RNA is filed under the name uncultured bacterium. Its description in RNAcentral is "partial 16S ribosomal RNA". It matches the Rfam family "Bacterial small subunit ribosomal RNA", at positions 28 to 507 of the family's 1533-position model. The record is from RNAcentral.
GAUGAACGCUGGCGGCGUGCCUAAUACAUGCAAGUCGAGCGAACGGACGAGAAGCUUGCUUUUCUGAUGUUAGCGGCGGACGGGUGAGUAACACGUGGAUAACCUACCUAUAAGACUGGGAUAACUUCGGGAAACCGGAGCUAAUACCGGAUAAUAUUUUGAACCGCAUGGUUCAAAAGUGAAAGACGGUCUUGCUGUCACUUAUAGAUGGAUCCGCGCUGCAUUAGCUAGUUGGUAAGGUAACGGCUUACCAAGGCAACGAUGCAUAGCCGACCUGAGAGGGUGAUCGGCCACACUGGAACUGAGACACGGUCCAGACUCCUACGGGAGGCAGCAGUAGGGAAUCUUCCGCAAUGGGCGAAAGCCUGACGGAGCAACGCCGCGUGAGUGAUGAACGUCUUCGGAUCGUAAAACUCUGUUAUUAGGGAAGAACAUAUGUGUAAGUAACUGUGCACAUCUUGACGGUACCUAAUCAGAAAGCCACGGCUAACUACGUG